Molecule: ribosomal RNA, 424 nt
Filed under: uncultured bacterium
Lineage: Bacteria
Description: bacterial SSU rRNA
Rfam family: Bacterial small subunit ribosomal RNA
Source: RNAcentral
UGGGGAAUAUUGGACAAUGGGCGAAAGCCUGAUCCAGCAAUGCCGCGUGAGUGAUGAAGGCCUUAGGGUUGUAAAGCUCUUUUACCCGGGAUGAUAAUGACAGUACCGGGAGAAUAAGCUCCGGCUAACUCCGUGCCAGCAGCCGCGGUAAUACGGAGGGAGCUAGCGUUGUUCGGAAUUACUGGGCGUAAAGCGCGCGUAGGCGGCUUUGUAAGUUAGAGGUGAAAGCCCGGAGCUCAACUCCGGAACUGCCUUUAAAACUGCAUCGCUUGAAUCCAGGAGAGGUGAGUGGAAUUCCGAGUGUAGAGGUGAAAUUCGUAGAUAUUCGGAAGAACACCAGUGGCGAAGGCGGCUCACUGGACUGGUAUUGACGCUGAGGUGCGAAAGCGUGGGGAGCAAACAGGAUUAGAUACCCCCGUAGUCC